AAACUCAAAGGAAUUGACGGGGAGCACCACAACGGGUGGAGCUUGCGGUUUAAUUGGAUUCAACGCCGGAAAUCUUACCGGGACCGACAGCAAUAUGAAGGCCAGGCUGAAGACUUUGCCGGAUUAGCUGAGAGGCGGUGCAUGGCCGUCGCCAGUUCGUACUGUGAAGCAUCCUGUUAAGUCAGGCAACGAGCGAGACCCACGCCCACAGUUGCCAGCGUACUCUCUGGAGUGACGGGUACACUGUGGGGACCGCCGCUGCUAAAGCGGAGGAAGGAAUGGGCAACGGUAGGUCAGUAUGCCCCGAAUAUCCCGGGCUACACGCGAGCUACAAUGGUUGGUACAAUGGGUAUCUACCCCGAAAGGGGACGGGAAUCUCCUAAAACCAAUCUUAGUUCGGAUUGAGGGCUGCAACUCGCCCUCAUGAAGCUGGAAUCCGUAGUAAUCGCGUUUCAACAGAACGCGGUGAAUACGUCCCUGCUCCUC
RNAcentral lists this ribosomal RNA (486 nucleotides) under uncultured Methanosaeta sp. RNAcentral's name for it is "bacterial SSU rRNA". It matches the Rfam family "Archaeal small subunit ribosomal RNA", at positions 852 to 1338 of the family's 1478-position model. The record is from RNAcentral. Lineage: Archaea; Methanobacteriati; Methanobacteriota; Methanomicrobia; Methanotrichales; Methanotrichaceae.